UUAGGAAUAUUGGACAAUGGGGGCAACCCUGAUCCAGCCAUGCCGCGUGUGUGAAGAAGGCCUUAGGGUUGUAAAGCACUUUCAGCUGUGAAGAUAAUGACAGUAGCAGAAGAAGAAGCUCCGGCUAAAUUCGUGCCAGCAGCCGCGGUAAUACGACUGGAGCGAGCGUUGUUCGGAAUCACUGGGCGUAAAGGGUGCGCAGGCGGUCAUGAAAGUUAGAAGUGAAAUCCCAGGGCUUAACCCUGGAAUGGCUUUUAAAACUCCAUGACUAGAGUACUGGAGAGGUUGGCGGAAUUCCGAGUGUAGAGGUGAAAUUCGCAGAUAUUCGGAGGAACACCAAUGGCGUAGGCAGCCAACUGGACAGUAACUGACGCUCAUGCACGAAAGCGUGGGGAUCAAACA
RNAcentral lists this ribosomal RNA (402 nucleotides) under uncultured prokaryote. Its description in RNAcentral is "bacterial SSU rRNA". It matches the Rfam family "Bacterial small subunit ribosomal RNA", at positions 355 to 774 of the family's 1533-position model. The record is from RNAcentral.